Molecule: ribosomal RNA, 1824 nt
Filed under: Triticum aestivum (bread wheat)
Lineage: Eukaryota; Viridiplantae; Streptophyta; Magnoliopsida; Poales; Poaceae
Description: partial small subunit ribosomal RNA
Source: RNAcentral
AUGUCUCCGCCAAUUCCACCGCCACCACCACCGCUGCCCGCCAACUCCUCCACCACCGCCGCCUCUGCGCCGGGCGUCACGGCCUCGCUCUCGGCGGGCACCACUGCGUCGCUCUCAACGCCGGUCCUAACGGCACCCGGCACCACGCCGGGCCAAGGGCAGCCACAGGCCCCCGUCCAACACUCGUCGCCGCCAUCACCUCCCCCGCAGCCGCAACAGUUCACGCCGGAGGCCAUGGCGGGCGUCCUCAACGACCUCGUCACCGCGGUUCAAGGGAUCCGCCUCUACCUGGCAGGUCCGUACGGGCCGCCCCCACCACUCCAUCCAGCCAUGGCCGCGGGUCAGCAGGCGCUUCCGUGGUACUCGGCAUCGGGGGCCAUCACCGGACUCCAUCCAGCCAUGGCCGCGGGUCAGCAGGCGCUUCCGUGGUACUCGGCACCGGGGGCCGUCACCGGAGGCUACCCGGCGCUCCCCGCCCCAGCGGCCGCACGGCCGCCUUGGGCGCAGUGGCUGCCGCAGAUCGCGCCGGCAGCCCCGCCACUUCUCGCCACCACGGGGCCGCAGUGGCCCACCUGGACCGCGCCGGCCGCGCCGUCCUCUGUNNNNCCCUACCUUCCAGCGGCCUCGGAGCAGGGUCCUCCACCGGCCCCGCCCAGCCCUAACCUGGGCACCGGCGCCUCGGAGCAGGGCCAGACCCAGCAGCUUCUUCCGGCGUCACCGCCGGCCCCCACGCCGCAGGCGCCGGUGCAGCUCCACCAGGCGCCGCCGCCAUCGACAGUACCACCACCCGCGCCUAGGGCUACGGGUCGGCCCCUGCACCAGGUGCAGUUUCCACCGUCACCAUCGCCGAUCCCCGCUUGGGCGACCGGCUCGUCUUCGGGGCCGGUCUACUCCACGGCGCCGGAACACCCGACGCCCUCCCUGCGGUUUGAUCACCCCUCCAGCUCGGCGAACUACGCCCCGGCGCUUCCCGACCCAGCAUACGCGCCGGCGGCAACUACGGCCGCCCCCGGGCACGGCGGGCCGACACCCCCUCGCUUCGCCAAACUGGACUUCGCCACCUACGAGGGCAUGGAGGACCCCCUCAACUGGCUCAACCAGUGCGAGCAGUUCUUUCGAGGGCAGCGGACGCUCGCUUCGGAUCGCACCUGGCUCGCGUCCUAUCAUCUUCGAGGCGCAGCGCAGACCUGGUACUACGCCCUCGAGCAGGACGAGGGCGGCAUGCCACCAUGGGAGCGCUUCCGGGAACUCUGUCUCCUCUGGUUCGGGCCUCCUAUCCGCGGGAGCCGACUGGCGGCCCUCGGCCGCUUACCCUUCACAUCCACGGUGCAGGACUACGCCGACCGCUUCCAGGCCCUGGCGUGCCACGCGCCGGGCGUCUCCGCAACUCAGCGCGCCGAGUUAUUUGUGGGCGGUCUACCGGACCAUAUCCGCGUGGACGUGGAGCUUCGGGGACCCCAGGAUCUCCAGUCGGCCAUGUAUUACGCCCGCGCAUUCGAGCGCCGCGCGGUGGCCAUCCAGCAGGAAUCACCGUCCCAGACUGCUGGGUCGCUACCCGGACCGGAUUCCGCGCAGGGUCGGCCUGUGCAGGCUUCUGCGGCACCCCUCGCCGCGACCGCGGGGCGCCCGUUCCGCCGGCUCACCCCAGCUGAGAUACUCGAGCGUCGCUGCCAAGGGUUGUGCUUCAACUGCGACGAACCCUACAAGCCCGGCCACGCCUGCCCGCGACUCUUCUACCUGGAGGUGGCAGACUACAUUCCGGAGGACGCCGUCGCCGCCGACCUGGCCGCCCCAGAUGUCGAGAAGGUGUUUGACGCUGGUUGA